This 1101-nucleotide ribosomal RNA is filed under the name Gelidiorariphycus sungminbooi. RNAcentral describes it as "partial large subunit ribosomal RNA". It matches the Rfam family "Eukaryotic large subunit ribosomal RNA", at positions 1011 to 2163 of the family's 3401-position model. The record is from RNAcentral. Lineage: Eukaryota; Rhodophyta; Florideophyceae; Gelidiales; Gelidiaceae.
AAGCGAAUGAUUAGCGUAUUUGGGGACGUUUAGUUUUCAGACGAUUCUCAAACUUUCAAUGCGCAAGGGUGUUGCUGCUUAAUUGAGCUUCACCGGUAAAAACGUCGGCCCUGUGGGCCACUUUUGGUAAGCAGAACUGGCGAUACGGGAUGAACCGUAAGCACGGUUAAGGUGCCAAACUACUCGCUUAUAGAUCCCACAAAAGGUGUUGAUUCAUCGAGACAGCAGGACGGUGGCCAUGGAAGUCGGAAUCCGCCAAGGAGUGUGUAACAACUCACCUGCCGAAUGAAUUAGCCCUGAAAAUGGAUGGCGCUUAAGCGGGUGACCGACACCGUGCCGUCUGAAUGAUAUAUUUCAGAUGAGUAGGAGGACGUGGUGAUUGUGACGAAGUAUACGUGCAAACGUAUAUGAAACAAUCACUAGUGCAGAUCUUGGUGGUAGUAGCAAAUAUUCAAGCGAGAUCCUUGAAGGGCGAAGCGGGGAAGGGUUCCACGCUAACAUUGAUUGGGCGUGGGUGAGUCGUUCCUAAGCCGAGUGGCAAUUGCUAAGUAGCGGCGAAAGGGAAGCGGGUUUACAUUCCCGCACACGGAUGUGGAGGCGGUGACGCUUUAUUGGGGCGAACACGCUGGCGAUGGCGCUGGGCAGAGUUGUCUUUUCUGUUUGACCGUUUGCGCAUGCGGUGUGGAGUCCGCUUGUCGGGAGAAACACGCAUGCGCGGGCAGAGCGCCGGGGCUUAUCCGGCGUCCAGCUCGCCAUCGACGGCCCUUGAAACUUUGUCUGCUGAUUUUAGAAUCCACGCCGUGGCGUACCGAUCACCGCAUCAGGUCCCCAAGGUGAACAGCCUCUGCUCAAUAUGAAAAAUGCAGGUAAGGGAAGUCGGCAAAUUAGACCCGUAACUUUGGGAAAAGGGUUGGCUCUAGUGCUGCGUGGGAGUGGUUGUUAAGUUGUGGCGCUAUUGAAGGUACUGAUUUGCGUGAUACUUCGGUAUUAUUCAGUUGGAACCAUUGGUAGUGCUGCUCUUGACGACGCCCACAGCAUGCAGCAAACUAGAACUGCAACGGGCAAAGGGAAUCCGACUGUUUAAUAAAACAAAGCAUGCGA